UAAUACUCCAUAGAUUAGAGACACUGGAAUGUUCUUUAGUCGAAAGUUCUGGCGCCUUAGGAUGGAUCUGCGGUCGAUUAGGUUGUUGUUGGGGUAACGGCCCAACAAGCCUGUAAUCGAUACGGGUUGUGGGAGCAAGAGCCCGGAGAUGGAAUCUGAGGCACGAUUCCAGGCCCUACGGGGCGCAGCAGGCGCGAAAACUUUACAAUGCAGGAAACUGUGAUAAGGGAACUCCGAGUGCCCGUAUACGCGGGCUGUCCAGGUGUUUAAAAAUCAUCUGAAGAAAGGGCCGGGCAAGACCGGUGCCAGCCGCCGCGGUAAUACCGGCGGCUCGAGUGGUGGCCACUAUUAUUGGGCUUAAAGCGUCCGUAGCUGGACCGAUAAGUCUCUUGGGAAAUCCGCCGGCUCAACCGGCGGGCGUCUAAGGGAUACUGUUAGUCUAGGGACCGGGAGAGGUGAGAGGUACUCCGGGGGUAGGAGUGAAAUCCUGUAAUCCCCGGGGGACCACCGAUGGCGAAGGCAUCUCACCAGAACGGCUCCGACAGUGAGGGACGAAAGCUGGGGGAGCGAACCGGAUUAGAUACCCGGUAGUCCCAGCCGUAACUAUGCGCGUUAGGUGUAC
This 622-nucleotide ribosomal RNA is filed under the name uncultured archaeon. Its description in RNAcentral is "bacterial SSU rRNA". It matches the Rfam family "Archaeal small subunit ribosomal RNA", at positions 147 to 776 of the family's 1478-position model. The record is from RNAcentral.